UCAGCCUCAACCCCGCCAAAACGAGGGGGAGGGUCCUGUUGCUUUUUAUUGAAAGCCUCAAUUAAAAUUAAUCGGGGAGGGCAAUAAUAAGGAAGGAAAUGAAGGGAUGGAUAUAAAAGUAUAUGUGUACUGCGGUGUCAUUACUUGUCGGUGGCGAUUAAGGGAGUCCUGCUGUCUGGAAAUUGGCUUUGCCUCCCAGGAAACCUGAGGAAAGCGCUGCCCUAGUUAAUGCUGCCGUAGCUCUUGGGAGAGGCUUGGAAUGAGAUAGAUACAGGUUUUCUUUUGAAAUAUGCUCUUGAAUAAAUUAGUUCGCGUCCAGAAAUGGCAUCUGUUUUCCCUGGCUCAGAUAUUUUUCUAGAAAAAGUGUUUAGGUAUGCAGCUCACACGGAAAGGGGGACUAAUAUCUAAGCAGCUUUGAAAAUCGGCGCUGUGUUGUUUUGAGUUAGGACAGAAAUGCUGGUUUAAUUCCAAAGUUUGAAUACAGCAAUGCUGUGGGGUCAGUAAGCCCUGGAGAAGGAAAGGAUGGGCCCUUAGAUGUAGAAGUUAUGAAGUGGAAAAUUAAGUGUUUGGAAGAGUUAAGUGGCCUGGUGUUCAGUGCCACCAUCUAACAACAAAGCUUCUCUUUUAUUUUCAAGUCACUUGCUGAUUUAUCUCCAAUUCACAGCUCAUUAGAAGGUGUGUAACUCUUCAGAGAUGUUGUUAUUUAACAGGCGAAGAUAAAGCCUUGAAUGAGAAUCAGCCGGCGGAGCCACAAAGGGCAGCUGCAGUUUUUGCUGCCUGCACAGGAGGGUGCUCAGCCUCUGUCUUUAUCUGCAGGCAGGAGCAGCUCCCGUGCUCAUCAGGACCAGGUGGAGAAGCCGUUUCCUGAACCGGCCUUUGCUUGUAGUGACACUGGAGGAUCUGUUCAAUCCAGUGACUCAGAAAUUGUUCAGAUGUGCAGGAAUUUCGGGAGCUGAAAGUUAUUAUGUAAAAUGGGUAAAUUGGAGUCUUUAAAGGAGCUGCCAACUUGCAUUUGCCUGAGUUACUUCAGCAGUGGAGAGCAGAGGAAGAAUUCCAGACACGUCAUCCUGAUUUCACAAGUCUGCAGAGAUCUCAGAGUGGCCUUACCCAUCUGUGAGGAAGGCUAUACAUGCAAAUUCACAUUCCUGAAGCAUUCCCACUAACUCUGCCCUUCUGUUCUGGCAGAAUGAGGAAAAACUGUGGGCUGCCAAAAGGUGAAGACAACCACUUUAUCUGCAGGAGAAUAUUCAUUUAUGGCACUUCACUGGUGAUACAGGUUUGAAAUGGGAAAAUGGGCUUAAAGCCUUCUUCAGGAGAGAUUUACUCUCAGCUUUCUCCAGUGUGAUUGCUUUGAGUCUGUAAGGUCAUCAUGGUUGAAGGCAUGAGGAUGAGGACAUCAAAGCCUUUGCCCACUUAUGACAAUUACUCUGGAGACAAACACAGCUCAGAAGACAAAUGUUAUGAGCUACCUGUAAGUUCUGGUUCACAAAACAGAUGAGAAUCCAGAGAUACUCCUGAACUUGGAAAUGAAAUUUAUUCUCAAGAUUGUCUGUGAAAAUGAAAGAAUGGACAGCCUCAAAAAACUCCUUUUCCCUGCCCUGAAGAACUGCAGCCACAGUGUUUCAUGUGGAGGAGGACUCCUCAAAAAUCACCAGUUCCCCAAAGAAAGGAGGUUCUUAUUCAGUAAUUCAGGUGAAGCCUCAUCUUGAGCAGCCUUGGGAGGGCCAAAGGUGCUCCCUUUUCCAGUUCCCUGCCUGGCUUUUAGCAGAUACCAUUUUUUAGCAUCUCAACAAGGAAAUCACAGCAAUUUCCAUGGGAAGAAUCCCAGAGAUGACAGGGCUUCCCCCCAAAACACUGCCUGUGUAAUUGCUGAAGACAUUCCAAGCCCCUCUAACGAAGUGCUGUCUGCCAGUCAUUCUGUUCUCCUUGCAGGACCAUCUGUUGCACUUCAAAUAUGUAAAGGUCUCUAUCAUUUAUUGCUCCAAACAAAUCCAGGCCUUUGUCUGAUGUGCUGGAGCUCCUGAAUGGAUUCUCAAGGUGGUUUCAGUCACAAAGGGCAGGGUGUUCCCUUUG
This is a long non-coding RNA of Melospiza melodia melodia, 2073 nucleotides long. RefSeq lists it as uncharacterized. The record is from RefSeq and is a predicted model, not a curated record. The transcript is spliced from 9 exons. NCBI's taxonomy places the organism in Eukaryota, Metazoa, Chordata, Aves, Passeriformes, Passerellidae.